GAGUCUUUUCCCUUUCCAGUUUCCUUAUGCCCCAUUUAUUCAUUGUUUUUCUUUCCCUUUAUUCUUUAGGCCUGCAUUUUGCAUCUCUUUAUUUGAUCACAUUCUCCAGGGGUGUUUCUUCUUCACCUAACACAUGCUUCUUCUUUGUGAAUGAGCGGAGGACAGAAAAGUAGCAAGGAAGAAAUACACAGAAAACAGGCCUCAGAGAGCUACAGACAACUUUCCAAGGAGGGUUCUGAGAGAGAGGUGCAGGGGACUGCAAGUCUUCAAAGCCCAUGGUCUGUGGUCCAAGAGCCAAAAACRGUCACAAACUUUUCAACCGUUUGGAUGAAAAACUACAGCUCAUCUUGCUACUGCUUAUUCUUCAACAAGAAAAAGAAGGUAACAUCUAUGAAUAAUACAUUCUUUGGCUGACCUUGUCUUCAUCCCGAAUUGAGGAGCUUUUUGACUGAUUGGCCACCAUUUCUGUUUUUGAAUUUGACAGUGUCUUACAAAUGUGUCAAGUUAGGGCAGAGACAUAGCCCAAAUCAAGAGUAUCUCCAGGUAGAAUCUUCUGUUUUGAGGACCUAAGUUUUCAAAAGUUAAAAUGCAAUGAUCUCUGAGUACUGCUUGGAUGCCAUUUUGUGAUAGCUUUAUAAAAGUAUGACUCAGAGCAUGUAAUUAAUCCCUACAGCAUCUCACUCUUUGACAAGUUUUGCAACAAAUGGGACUUCACAAUAAUGGUGAAAUAAUUUUAUUUCCAAAAUGGCAGAAUGAAUUCAGCUGCAACAGUUCUGCCGGGGCUAUAGCAACGUAUUUAUUUCUUUACUUAGGAAAAAAAUCCAGUAAAGAUGGAUGUCUUCCACUUCAAAGCAAGGAAAGAAUUGUGAGACCCAACAAUGUAUAUGUAUAUGUGUAUGUGUACGAAUAAAGUUUAUUACAGACUU
This 926-nucleotide long non-coding RNA is filed under the name Apteryx owenii (little spotted kiwi). RNAcentral's name for it is "lncRNA (ENSAOWG00000010094.1)". Lineage: Eukaryota; Metazoa; Chordata; Aves; Apterygiformes; Apterygidae. The record is from RNAcentral.